GUGCAAUGUUAUUUGAAUUUUCUGAAAAGUUGCAUGUUUCUUUCCUGUAAUGUGUAAAUUGCAUGCAGGAUCUCUCUCUAUUUUAUUUUGUAUGUCUUUAAAGCUUCUUCUAAGAACUCAUCCCUAAUUUCUCAAUUUUCAGGUGACUGAAAAUUCCUGGGGCUUUUCCUGGAAUAGAAUGGGUAUCGAAGACCCAUGUCAGUGAUCCCCUGAAGCAGUGUUUAUUUGGAGUGUGUUUGCAAACAACAAAGUGGCUGAUGGAAAGAAAAGGGAACUUCCUGGAUAUCAGGGAAGCAUAGGUUUUGGAGGAAAUCUAACUUGGGAACCAUAGUGGAUGCAGAAGAGUGGAACAUGCAGGGGUCUUUGAAGCACUGCUUGGUCAGCUGUCAGAGGACCCUGAAUACCAGGAGCUACCUGCUGUAUAGAGGCUGGCCUGGGGCAUUUGCUGCAACAUAGAAACCCGAGAGGAGAUCAACAAUUCUGUUUCACCCUACCUCUUGAUCUUGAUCCUGAAAGCCAGCCAGGAUCUUAGGAGUCUUUAGUCCCAGGAUGGAGUACUCAGGGCUUCCAGAGACUCAUUGCUAACUGUUCCACCUACUCAAACCACUUUAGUGGGAGGGGCACCUUUUCCAUCACCUCACAAACAAAAAAACAUUUUUAAACAACUUUAAAGACUUGAGAGGGAGCUGGGCAUGGUGGCACACAUCCUUAAUUCCCAAAUUCAGGAGGCAGAAGCAGGCAGAUCCCUGAGUUCUAGGCCAGCCUAGUCUGCAGAGCAAGUUCCAGGACAGCCAGGACUAUACAGAAACCCUGUCUCGAGGAGGGGGGAUAGGACUAAAUGCCUGACACGGCUGUCCAGGUCAGAACAUACUCAGCUCCUGUGCCACUGUCAGUAUCUUGUUUCCCCUUAGUUUCUAUAGAAUGUGUUGGAACACUCUACUGCACGUGCUCACCCCAACCUCCACCAUACCUUUGUUGGGACCUUCAGCCUUCAAGCCCUUAGACAUUUCUAGAGGACUCUAAGGAAGAUACUCACCUUGUAUGUAAGGUGCUAAGGAAAGUCAAGAAUCAUUACUUUGGGCAAGCUGUUUGAAGUUCUGAGC
Molecule: long non-coding RNA, 1103 nt
Filed under: Cricetulus griseus (Chinese hamster)
Lineage: Eukaryota; Metazoa; Chordata; Mammalia; Rodentia; Cricetidae
Description: lncRNA (ENSCGRG00015037418.1)
Source: RNAcentral